UUUCCGUUCAUCUAGAGGCCUAGGAUACGUCACUUUCACUGACGGUACACGAGUUCGAAUCUCGUACGGAAAACCA
RNAcentral lists this transfer RNA (76 nucleotides) under Erwinia phage pEa_SNUABM_11. Its description in RNAcentral is "tRNA-Glu". It matches the Rfam family "tRNA". Rfam says of the family: Transfer RNA (tRNA) molecules are approximately 80 nucleotides in length. Their secondary structure includes four short double-helical elements and three loops (D, anti-codon, and T loops). Lineage: Duplodnaviria; Heunggongvirae; Uroviricota; Caudoviricetes; Chimalliviridae. The record is from RNAcentral.